UUCUGUCUGGUUCAUCCUCCGCGAGGGUCGCGGAGGCCGGUGGCGCCCCGAAGACUCAUCAUGCUGCGACUUGAGAUUUGACCAGCUCCAUUUCCUUCUUGGGUCUGCUUACCUGGUGACGAUCCCUAUUUCCCAAGGCUUAUCAUAUAAUGUUGAACAUAGUGCAAGCAUCUGAUCAGGACAGCCCACUGACACUCAAAACUCUCAAGCUUAAGAGAUCUGCCAACUUUGACCUUUCUAGGAUUAAAGAACACAGGCAGGCACAUAUGCAUAAAGAUACUGUGUCAAAGUGCAGCGUUGGACUUAAAAUCAGAAAGGCUUGGCAUCAGAUCCUGCCCCUGACCCUCAUUA
This is a long non-coding RNA of Trichosurus vulpecula (common brushtail), 351 nucleotides long. RefSeq lists it as uncharacterized. The record is from RefSeq and is a predicted model, not a curated record. The transcript has 3 exons. NCBI's taxonomy places the organism in Eukaryota, Metazoa, Chordata, Mammalia, Diprotodontia, Phalangeridae.